This 3477-nucleotide ribosomal RNA is filed under the name Triticum aestivum (bread wheat). Its description in RNAcentral is "partial small subunit ribosomal RNA". Lineage: Eukaryota; Viridiplantae; Streptophyta; Magnoliopsida; Poales; Poaceae. The record is from RNAcentral.
AUGGAGCCGCGGCCGCCGCCGUCGCCGUCGCCUUCUCCGGCGCCCCCCUCCUCCGCCGUGCGGGUCCUCUCCCGCGCGCCUCCCCCCGCCUCCGCCCCCUCCCCGGCCGCGACCGCUGCCUCGCCGCCGCACGACGGCGGCGUGGUCGUCGUCGGCUUCGUGGGCGGCCCCGGGAGCGCCGCCGCGCGCCUCGCGGACCGGAUCCUCGACGCCCCCGUCUUCUCCCCCGGCGGCUCGGCCAGGACCCUCGCCGGGGGCGUCAGGUACCACCGCGACGGGGACAAGAGGAUGGUCUUCCUCCACCUCGCCUCCCCGCCCCCGCCCCCGCCGCGGGAUGCGGGCGGCGGGAGCACCGGCGACCUCCCGGAGAUACUCUUCAUGUUCUCGGUAUGCCAUGUAAUAAUAUUUCUCCAAGAAGGCUUCCGGUUCGACACGCAGAUCUUGAAGAGUUUUAGGCUGCUGCAAUCUUCGAAGCAUGCUUUUGCACCAUUUGUGAGAUCACUAGUAGCACCGGGAACACCAUCCAAAGCUGCCCCUUCUGGCACACCGGGGACACCAUCCAAAGCUGCCCCUUCUGGCACACCGGGGACACCAUCCAAAGCUACCCCUUCUGGCACCCCGACUCGGCCUACCCGCAGGGCUUCAUCAAUCUCCCCUCCGGCACGCCGUGGAGGCCAUUCGGGCCGCCAGCCCUCAGCCAUCUCGUUGAUGUCAGGAACCGGUUCGCAUGCUUCUGUGUUGCCAGGCCAAUGCAUCCCUGUUGUCCUCUUUGUCUUUGAGGAUGAUAUCAUUGAUGGUCCAAGUGCUGCAACAAGUUUGGAUGAUACGGGGGAGACAUCUUCAUCAAAUCAGGCUUCUGGCACUUCAAAAGGUUCUGGCUCAGUGGUAAUGCUCGCCCGACCUGCCAGCAAAACUGAGGGUAGUUUCACAAAGAAGCUGCAUUUGUCUCUGGAAGGUCAGAUCCGGUUGUUGCUGAAGAGGUGCCGGACACUUACCGGUCUGGAGUCGUCAGGGCAUAAUGGUCCAAGGGGUGCUGGUAACGUGAGCCAUAUUCCUUUGUUCUCACUUGAUGCAUCCAGAGUUGUUGCCCUGUUGGACCGCUCAAUUAAUAAGAAACGGGAGCCACUGGAUAUCAUCGCAGGACUGUUUGAAGAUUCUUUCAGCUCCAAGUCAUCGUUGGAUGUCGCUUCAUUAGAAAAUAACUGCCAAUCUGCAAACCACGAAGAUGUUCAGUUGAUCAAGGAUUUUAUAUUUCGGCAGUCCGAUGGACUGAGAGGGAAAGGCGGGUAUUCAGGCAAUGCGUCUGCUGGCUCUGUUGCUGGUGUCGGUAUGGUGGCUGCGGCAGCAGCUGCAGCAGCUGCAUCCGCAUCAUCUGGGAAGCCAGUUAGUGUUCCUGAUCUCCCUAGUUUUGAUAAAUGGUUCUCCAUUAGUACAUCUAUUCUAUCUGGACUGAUUAGUGCAAAAGAUGGGAUCGAUAAUUCCGAAAGUAUGAGGGGAUCAUCUACUCAUACAAGUUCUGGUUUGAAGAAUGAACACUCUAGUGCUAUUGAAACUGCUUUAUCUUGCUUGGAAAGCAACAAGGGGCUUAACAUGAAAUUUUCCUCAUCAUGGUGCCAAAAGGUGCUUCCAGUUGCUAAGGAGGUGUACUUGAAAGAUUUGCCUGACUUUUACCCAACUAGCGUGCAUGAAGUGCAGCUACAGAAAGCAUUGAGAUCCUUUCACUCAACAGUCAAAGGACCGGCUGUCAAGGUAUUCUCCAAGAAGCUAGAAGAUGAAUGCAAGACAAUCUGGGAAGCUGGAAGGCAGCAAUGCGAUGCUGUCAGCCUUACUGGCAGGCCAUGCAAGCACCAGCGUCAUGGUAAAUUAUCUUCAUCAGAUGCUGUCGAACAGCAUUCUAGUGGUUACGUCUUCCUCCAUGCAUGUGCCUGUGGACGGUCACGUCGCCUUAGAGAUGAUCCUUUUGACUUUGAGACAGCCAAUGUAUCAUUUAACUGCUUCUCCAAUUGUGAAGAUCUACUACCCACCCUUGUGCUACCGAGGGGGGUUGAUGCUAGUUCAUUUCCGGCAUCCUCUUGGCGUUUGGUGCGCCUUGGAGGAGCAAGAUAUUACAAGCCAACGAAAGGGUUGCUCCAAGCUGGAUUUUGCUCAAAGGACAAGUAUCUUUUGAAGUGGACAAUAUCUCUUGGCAAAGGACAAGGAAAAAAUGGCACCCAUGCUGCCACUAAAUCUUCCUCCAUGACAUCUAAUGUGAACCCCCAGAUUCCACCUGCUGUUUCUAGAGAAGUAAAGUCCAUUACAAACCAAGUCGCACCAGAAAUUAGAUCUGCGAAGCUUGAAAAUCCCAGAAAACAACCUGAAGUGCAAUCAACGAACAGCUCAGCUAUCAGUUUUGGUAAAGGUCAUCCAAAUUUUACUAUGAAAAAGCCUUUCGCUGAAGUUGUUGCUGGCAGCACAACUAAAGAUUCUGAGUUUCCUGCUCUCCAGCUGAAGAGACCACCAAAACCUGCUAGCCGAAAAGAUGAACGGCAAGUGAGCGUAGCAGAACAGACUAAUGGCCGAAUCAAUGCAGCUCUCAGUCAAGGACCUGUAGCUGAAAAUGAAUCUGAGAAGAUGACCAAAAAUAUGAGCAGUGAAACUGCUGAUGGGAAGCCCUUUCUACAGAUCGGGAGCAACAUAGUGCCAGUUACUGUUGGAAAUGAGUGCUCGUACGGUCACCGUUUCUUACUGUCAGAGAAGUAUCUUAAGGAAAUUGAUUAUGAAAGAUCCUAUCAAAACAAUGAAUCAGAAAGUAAGCAUAGUUCACAAAAGUUGCCCCCAAAUGCAUCUAAGUCGGCAGCAACUACAGUAAAUGGAAACAAUGGGCGGAAAGCCAAUAGGCCACUGGAAUCAUCAGGGAGAAAUAGCAGGCAGCAAUUGCUUCAGCCUGGCGUUGAUGGGGAGACGUUGCGGCCUGCUCACAUUCCUUCAGAUCCACGUAAUGUCAGAAAGGGAGAGCAUUCUCUUCAAUACGUUACAGCCGAUGAUGGUGGAGAAGCAUAUUCACUGUUGAACAGAAAUCUGCCGAUAUAUAUGCACUGCCCUCAUUGCAAGAGCUCAGACGGGAAGGGGCAUCAAGAUGUAAAGGCUGCUGGUGCUGUGUCACAACUUCAACGGAUUUUUAUCGUGACACCUGAUUUCCCUGUCCUGUUGGCUAGCUGCCCAGUUGUACAGUUUGAGAGGUCAUGUCUGCCAUCAAAUGUAUCUGACCGUGAUCAACAAGGAUCGUUCAGCCUUGGAUGCCGAGUUCUCCUUCCACCCGAGAGCUUUCUUACCCUGCGGCUUCCAUUCGUAUACGGUGCCGAGACAAGGGACGGAAGCACAUCCCCCCUCAAACACCUCGAGCAGCAACCAGAGCUCACAGCAUGGCUCGUCGGAGGCACAGCUUUGCAGAUCGUGUCAGCCGGGCACGUCGCCGAGAAAGAAGCCAACGUGCCGUGA